Molecule: microRNA precursor, 91 nt
Organism: Dasypus novemcinctus (nine-banded armadillo)
Lineage: Eukaryota; Metazoa; Chordata; Mammalia; Cingulata; Dasypodidae
Source: Ensembl
GCCUGCCCGGGGCGAGUCAGGGCUCUCCUGUCAGCUGGGCCCCCUCCGAGCCUUGGGAGGCCGCCACUGGAGCCCUGCCUCUUCCUGGCAG